AGGAGGAACAACCGCAGUGGCGGGGCCAGCUCUGCAGCCCUGGAGUCAGCUCCCGCAGUAACCACAGAGCUCUCCGUCUGCAGGGCCUGGAUGCUCCCGGGCGGG
This 105-nucleotide microRNA precursor is filed under the name Canis lupus familiaris (dog). RNAcentral describes it as "mir-8834 microRNA precursor family". It matches the Rfam family "mir-8834 microRNA precursor family". The record is from Rfam by way of RNAcentral. Lineage: Eukaryota; Metazoa; Chordata; Mammalia; Carnivora; Canidae.